Molecule: ribosomal RNA, 212 nt
Filed under: Staphylococcus pseudintermedius
Lineage: Bacteria; Bacillati; Bacillota; Bacilli; Caryophanales; Staphylococcaceae
Description: partial 16S ribosomal RNA
Rfam family: Bacterial small subunit ribosomal RNA
Source: RNAcentral
UUGCUGUCACUUAUAGAUGGACCCGCGCCGUAUUAGCUAGUUGGUGGGGUAACGGCCUACCAAGGCGACGAUACGUAGCCGACCUGAGAGGGUGAUCGGCCACACUGGAACUGAGACACGGUCCAGACUCCUACGGGAGGCAGCAGUAGGGAAUCUUCCGCAAUGGGCGAAAGCCUGACGGAGCAACGCCGCGUGAGUGAUGAAGGUCUUCG